Small nucleolar RNA from Sceloporus undulatus (fence lizard), 134 nucleotides. RefSeq annotates it as small nucleolar RNA SNORA33. NCBI's taxonomy places the organism in Eukaryota, Metazoa, Chordata, Lepidosauria, Squamata, Phrynosomatidae. The transcript has a single exon. The record is from RefSeq and is a predicted model, not a curated record.
AUGCCAGUAGAAUGACUUCUGCUUAACCUUUUAAAUGUUACGCAGAAAUGUAAAAUAAUUCUGGCAACAAUAAAGCCAGGGUACGAGCCUUGAAGACUCAGUAGUCAUUGAGGUCCCAGUAAAUGGCUACACCA